This 9443-nucleotide long non-coding RNA is filed under the name Coffea arabica (coffee). Its description in RNAcentral is "long non-coding RNA (CARA_LNC005958)". The record is from RNAcentral. Lineage: Eukaryota; Viridiplantae; Streptophyta; Magnoliopsida; Gentianales; Rubiaceae.
UUUUUUUUUUUUUUUUGGGCUUUUGGGCUAGUUUCCUUAUCUCGAUUUUGUGUCUAAAAAUUUCAAGAAUUGAUGGAUUCGAAAUCUGAUGGAAUUGUUUUAAGAUUUGGGACUUUGACUUUUGAUUUGUGAAUCCCUGAUAUUCUUUUUACUGAUUUGUUGCUUGAUUGUGUUUCACGCUUAAAGAGAAGCAUUUUGCAAUAAAAGUUGUGGCUUCUGGUCUUGAUUUGCGUGGUGGUGGAGAGGAGGAGCCGCCACGGAAUUAUGCUCGUUUGGGCAGCUCUACAGCGACUCUUGGCCGAAUCUAGACCAGAUUUGCGGUCUACGUGAAAAAUCGAGUUUAGUGUGCAAACUUUGCAAAAUUCAGUCGCUCUCCUGAGGUUGCAGACAUAGGUCGAGGAUGGUUGGCGGCGGAUCACAACAACUAGCUGCUGCUGCUGUCGCCUGCUGGCGUUGGUACCCAUGGCUGCCACCUACAAGCUUCUGAAAACAUUAGCAGGAAGGGAUGACAAAUAAAAUAAUAAAGAAAUUAAGAAAUAGUAAGGGAUAAUUUCAUAAGGGAUAAUUGCAGAAACCUCCCCUGACUUUUAUAGUAAUGGCAUUGACCUCCCCUAUCAAUUUUGAAAUAGCAUUGACCUCCCCUAUCAAAAGUUUGAGGUAAUUUAAUAGGCAAAAGUGGGUCAAUUUACUAAAGUACCCCUGACAUGAUUUAAUUUUACCAAAUGAAUGUGAUGAGUACUUUCAUCAAACCCAACAAAACAUUUGUUAAUAAAAAUUACACUAAAUUAACUAUUUCUGCAUAGUUUAACUAAUUAACUAAUUAACUAAAUAACUAAUAAUCUAAUUAAUUAAUAACUAAUUAUCUAAUUAACUAUUAACUAAUUAACUAAUUAUCUAAUUGUUAAUAGUUAUUAACUAAUCAAACUAUUUCUGCAUAGUUAAACUAAUUAAAUAUUAACUAAUUAUCUAAUUAACUAUUAACUAAUUAACUAAUUUCUAUUUAUCUAAUUAACUAAUUAAUUAAUUAUCUAAUUAACUAAAGCUGUUAUCUGUCCGAAACUAACAAACUAUUUGCAUGUUAACCUACUUAACUAAUUAACUGCUUAACUAAUUAACUACCUAAUUAUCUAAUUAAUUAAUUAACUAAUUAACUAAUUUUUGUUUAUCUAAUUAACUAAUUAUCUAAAGUAAGAAUAUUGAUAUUACUGUAACACUUUUUGAAUUUUACUUACAAACAUUGAUGUUUUUAUCAUAAAUUAAAUGUUUGAAAGUAAAAUACCCAUAAAGAACCGAUACUUUAAAUAGAUAAUGCGUACUGCAUAUAGUUUAACAUGCAAAUAGUUUUUUAAUUAGUUAGUUAGUUAAUUAGUUAAUUAGUUUAACAUGCAAAUAGUUUGUUAGUUUCGGAUAGUCAACAACUUUAGUUAAUUAGUUAAUUAGAUAAAUAGAAAUUAGUUAAUUACUUAAUUAAUUAAUUAGAUAAUUAGUUAGUUAAUUAGUUAAGCAGUUAAUUAGUUAAUUAGUUUAACAUGCAAAUAGUUUGUUAGUUUCAGAUAGACAACAGCUUUAGUUAAUUAGUUAAUUAGUUAAUUAGUUUAACAUGCAAAUAGUUUGUUAGUUUUGGAUAGACAACAACUUCAGUUAAUUAGAUAAACAAAAAUUAGUUAAUUAGAUAAUUAGGUAGUUAAUUAGUUAAGCAGUUAAUUAGUUUACCAUGCAAAUAAUUUGUUAGUUUCGGACAGACAAUAGCUUUAGUUAAUUAGUUAAUUAAAUAAUUAUUUAAUUAGUUAAUUAAUUAAUUAGAUAAUUAGUUAAUUAGUUAAUAGUUAAUUAGAUAAUUAGUUAAUAAUUAAUUAGUUUAACUAUUAACUAAUUAGAUAAUUAGUUAAGCAAUUGUCAAGCAAAUAAUAAUUGUCAAGCAAGUAAGGGCAAAAUUGGAAGAAAAUUCUUAUCUCACUUCUACAAAAGCUGUCAGGGAGGUCUCUGCAACAAAUUGUUACUGUUCAGGGGAGGUGAAUGCAAUUUUUAAACCUAGAGGGGAGGUCAGUGCAAAUGUCAGAAAUUUCAGGGGAGAUUUCUGCAAUUAUCCCAUUUCAUAAACCUCCCUUGGGGGUUUCCGACAAUUUCACUCAGCUCCCCCCAAUUUUAGAAAAUUACAUCGACCUCCCUUGUUUUUACUAUUUAAGGGUCUGUUUGAUAAUAUAAAAAAAGUGCUGAAUCUGAAUUUUUUCAGACAUUCAGAUGUUUUGACUGUUUGAUAAAUGAAAAUUCAUUUGCUGAAUUUACUAAGUAGUGCUGAACUUGUGUGUAUUUUUUUCAGCACAAGAAUCCUAACUGAAUGCUUAAUUCUAAUAAGAAUCAAUAAAAUUAUUUCAAUUACCUUAUCUUAUCUAGCAAAUCUACCCUUGUUUGUUAAUUAUGUUCAAAAUUUUUGUUUAAUUAAACAACCUAAUAUUUUCUAUCUAAUGAUUUUCUAUUUCUUUUUUCUCCCUUUUGAAUGACUUUCACAUCUUUUGCAUACUUCUCAUAUAAUAUAUUUCAUCUUUUAUAUUAAUUUGAUUUAAAAAUAAAUAUUGUCAUUUUCAUACCUAACAUUUUUAACUAAUUAAAUCAUAGGUUCUAUUUCUUUUUUGGAUGAAAAGAUAUAAGGGCAAAAUUGUCAAAUUUAACUUAUUAAGUAUUUAGUUAUAAAUAUUUAUCAAACAGUAUAAAUAGGCUUAACAUUAAAAUUCAGACAUUCAUACAUUUCUUUUUAGUGCUUAAAAUUCAGCAAAUUAAUUGUUUCAAUAUUCAGAUUUUAAAAUUUAGACUUCAGAAUUUAGAUUUAGUUUUAUCAAACGGAACCUAAGUAAUAUUAUAGACCCAUUAGGCUAGAAUUAUACUUAAAUAUCCUAAAAUACCCUUAUGCAAUAUCAUAACAUCAAAAGAAAGUGGAAAAAAGGUUUAGUGAUGAAUUUAAUAAAAAAAAAAGUAACAAACACUUUUAUCCAAGUUUAUUAUGCUUCCACGAUAAUUGUAAACCCAAAACCUUAUCAACCUUUCAAGCAAAUUCCAAUUUAAUUUCCAAAUUCCAUUAAUUUUGGUAUCACUAAAAUCCCAAAUUUUACCAAAAUUGCACUUCAAUUUAAUCCCUAAAUUCUAUCAAUUUCGGCAUUAUCAAAAUCCCAAACUCUACUCACAUCACUUUAAAAAUAGACCAUAACUGCCAUCACCAACUAAAAUACCCUCAAAAGCUUCCCACCCCAAAUUAACACUAUAUUUGUCUAUUGACUAAUCUCACACCUCAAAUUAUGAAUCCAACACCUAGUGCAUAUCAUCUUCCUUGAACAGAAGACCUGGCCAACCACUAUUGAUGUCUAUGCCAAGAGCAACCCCAUACUCCAAUAGCAUUAGGAACAAAGAAACUAAUCUUUAUGACAAACAACCACUAAUACUUGUAAAUCAAACAAAAAUAAAACUAAAUGAAGACAUUAGAUUCUAGUGCGUAAUUGACAUGAUAGCAUAACCCAGAGUUAUCCCUUUUUCUCUUCCAACUAUAGCCCAUUAAUUUCAUUUUUUUUCCUCUCUAUCACAACCAUCUUCAUCAUCUCCAUCCAAUUUGGCCAUGAAAUUUUCAUUUGCUCCUUCAAUUUGUAAUUUUGGAAAUUUUAAUUCUUUAAUAUAUGCAAAUUAUAAUACGAGAAGAAAUAAGCGAGGGGGUUGAUAGUCAAGUAACACGGAAAGAGAGAAAUAGACAAGAAAUAAACAUUUCGGGUAGGUUUGCAUGGUGGUGUAAUUGAUGGGUGGAAGAAACUGUGAGGUUAUAGGUAGGAAGGAGAGAAUUAUAAGAGGUAGAAAAAAAAAGGGAGGGAAAGAGAAAAAAAAAUUUGCUGUUAAUUAAAGUAGAGUUGGGAAUGAUGGCGAGUUGUUGUAGGUUUUUAUGGGCCUGUUUGGAACCUUGAUUUUUUGUCAAGUUUGUAUGAUACUAGUUUUUUAACAACUUUUACUACAAGAACUCCAAAAACUUAUCAAAAUUUUUAAUCUACACACUUUAAAAUAUCCAAAACACAAAAAAUCCAAAAUUUCCUUUCUCUUUUCUUCUUCUUCCUCCCCCACCCCAACUGCCCACCACCUCCGCUGCUGGUUCUGGCACCGAUCACCUCUUCCGGUGCCGAUCAUUUUUUUUCCCUUUCUCCCUCUCCCCCUCUUCCUCCCCUUUUGCCCGGUUCUGAUCCUUUCUCUUUUUUUUUUCUCCUCUUCCUCUCCUCCACUCCUUCCCUACCACCCUUCCCUUUCCCCUAUGGCCGGUCGCCAGACCAAAUCGUACAGAGGAGGGGUGGGGGUGGCGGGGGAAGAGGAGUAGAGGGGAGAAGAAAAAUUGCAAAAAAAAAAAAAAAAAUUCCGCGGCCGGCAGAUUGAGCAGAGACGGGAGAGGGGAAGGGGGAUGGGGAGAGAGGAGGAGAGGGGUGGUGGGGGAAGGGGAAGAGGGGUGGCGAGGGAAGGAAGGGGAAGGGGAGAGGGGGUGCCCUUCCCCUCUGGCCGGUUGCCAGACCAGAUCGCAUCGAGGGAGGGUGAGGGUGGCGGGGAAAGGAGAGUAGAGGGAGAAGGAAAAAUUACAAAAAAAAAAAAAAAAAAUUCCGCGCCUUCAGAUGAGCAAAGGCGGGCGAGGAAGGGGGAUGGGAGAGAGGAGGAGAGGGUGGCGGGGAGGGAAGAGGGGUGCAGAGGAGUCAGAGGGUGGCGAGGGAGAAGGGAGAAAUGGGUGCAGGGGGCAGAGGGGUGCUGGGGAGAGGGGAGAAGAGGGGUGUGGAGGAGGGGGGUGUGGGGUGGGGAGGAGGAAGGAAGGAAGGGGAAGGGGAGAGGGAGAAAGAGGGGGGGGGGGAGGAGAGAAAAGGGCGGGCAUGAGAGGGGGGAGAAAAAAAGCAAAAAAAAAAAAAAUUGCAGUAAAACCCAAUACUGCAUUGGCAGUGAUCUGAAGAGGGAACGGGGACGGGGAAAGGGAAGGGAGAAGAAGCAGGAAGGGAGGAAGGAAAAGAAAAAAGAAAAAAGAAAAAGAAAGAAAGAAAAAGAAAAGGAAAAAAAGUUUUUCAUCACACAAAAAGUUUUUCUACAACUUCUAAAAAAUUUUUUUUCAUCUUACAAAGUUUUUCUACAAUUUCUACAGUGAUCUACAGUAAAAUUUUAUACAAACACCCAAAAAACCCACCUUUCAAACAGGCCCUAUGUUUUCUUUUACUUUUGGUUUGGUUUUUGUAUCCUACAUAUGUGGUAAACUAUCUAUUUUUUUAUGUGGUAAAUUAUCUAUUAAGUAGAGGGUAUUGUAGUCAUUUUAUUGAAUCGAGAGAUAUUAGUGUAAUUUUCUAAAAUUGAGGGGAACUAAGUGAACUUGUCAGAAUCCUCCUCAAGGGAGGUUUCUGAAAUUAUCCCAAAUAGUAAAUGAGAAUUUAUUGAGAAAGUGCGACCUAGAAAGCUUAUGAAACAUUAGCAGGAAGGGAUGAAAAAUAAAAUAAUACUUAAAAGAAAUUAAGAAAUAGUAAAUGAGAAUUUAUUGAGAAAGUUGUUUUAACCUAUGGUCCUUUAGUCUUUUCACUAUUUCCGUCCCAGGUACUUUAACAGAAGUUAGUUAUAGAUUGGGGGAUAGGUGUUAUUUGGCCAGAACUUGGGGUUCAUUUGGUAGUUUAGUCAAAUCUUAAGGAACGUAAAUGUAAUUAACCUUUUUUUUUUUUUUAACAUGCACCACAUGGCAAUUACGAAGUAUAUUUCAACUUUAAUCAUAUUAUCUAUGCUGCACACUUGUACUGGGUCUUCCUUCAUGUGUUUACAGAUUUUUGGACUCUUGAAAUUAGAAUGGGUCAAUGGCUUGUGCCCUUGAAACAAGAAGGGUCCAAAUGUUAUUCAUUUGUCAAAUGUUUGAAAAGAUUGCCAUGUUGAACUGAACCAAUCAUGAAAGCACUAAAUUCCUAUUUGAUUCAGUUACCGGGUUGACAAGACAAAUGAAGGAUUGCCAAGCAACAUACAAGAAAAACAAAGCUAACUCACUUUGUUAAAUUGGCCAUGGAGGGGCCUCAGAGUUAACCUGGGAGUGUUUAGUUAAGAGUGAUUUGUGAGUGCCAGGUCAUGUGAGUGCCAGGUCAGCGUGUGCAUGGCUUAUUAGAUUAAGGUAGUGAUUGUUUGCAAAGAUUAAUGGUGGGAAAGUGAAGGAAAGUUUGUUAACUUCUUUCUAUUACGUUGUGUUUGUUUAGAGAAAAGUUAGAAAAAUUUACUGCAUAUAUAUAUAUAUAUAUAUAUAUAUAUAUAUAUAUAUAUAUAUAUAUAUAUAUAUUAUGUUCAUUGCCCUGCAAAUUUGGUAUGCUUGUGGAGAAAAAUAGCUCGUUAGACAUAUUUUUUAAAAUGAUUAUCACUAACUUUUAAUGCUGUCUUGCAAAUUUUUUAGGAUUGUAAAGGAAGAUAGAUAAUUACGCACAUUUUUUAAAAAUAACUACCACUAAUUUUCAAUAACUUUGCACUUUCUCUAAAAUUUUUUCUUGCUAACCAAAUAUACAUGGGAAAUUGGUUCUUAUUUUCAUUUAUCUUACUUUUCCAUACAAUUUUCUCUCUAUUCAAACAAAGUCUGUUUUCUAGCUGUUAGGGGAAAACAAAAGAAAAACAAAACUUACCCGCACGCACACAAUAAAAAGAAGGAUGAAUUACCUUAUACCUAUCUGUGAUUUGGUGCUUUAUCAUAUAAUUUCCUAUAACUUAAAAUCUAUAUAUAACUCCCUCAUAAUAUAGAUUAAAGUGUCAUUGUUAGUUUUUCCGUUAAAACUAACAAUCAAUGAUAAAAAGUCAAAAUCAAAUUACUAAAUUGAGAAAUCAUUACUUUUUUUUUUUCUUUUUCCUUCUCUCUCUCUCUCUCUCUCUCUAAUUUUUUUUUCUUUGGAGAAAGGAAGAGAUGAUUUUGAAAACUUAUAUUUUAGCCUACACAAUCUUAAUUUUCUUCAAAUACAAAAGAGAUGGUAGGGAAAUAAAAAAGGACUAAUCUUUCAUAUACUGAUAUUGUAUACACUAAUAAGUGUGUUUAGAUAGAAUAUUAUUUGAAAUAAUUAUUGUAGCAUUUUUUAUAAUGUAAUGUAUAUAAGAUAAAAAUGUGGUUAGCAAUAUAAAAAGAUGGGUUGGAAAAUAUAUUUAUGAUAUAAGCAAAAUAUUUUUUGAAAAAAAUUGGCUAUCCAAACACUCUCACUGUCAAUUUUGGAUGAAUGACAACUAUGUAAAAUUUGAAUUUGAAACCUAAUUUUUGCACGUGUCAUGAUUCCAACGGUAAUAGUGUAUAUACUAUUAGCGUGUAUAAUAUUUACUUAAUAAAAAAUAAAUAAGAAACAAAAAAGAUGGAAGGCAAAUGUAAAAAAAUAAAUAAAUAACAAAAAACACCAAAUCUUUUUUGACUACAAAUAUCAUUAUUGGUUUUUAAACCAAAUCUUUAAUGGUAUUUUCUAGUUCUUAUUUAUCUGUGUUUAUAUUUCAAUUUCUUCUUUUUUAUGUUUGGAGGAAAAAAAAGAAGAAAUGAAAGCACAAAUUUGUUAAUUUAUUAGUUUGAUUUCGACUUUUUACUAUUGAUAAUUAGUUUUAACGAAAAAACUAAUGGUGACACAUUAACCCAAACCAUGAGAGAGUUAUAUAUAGAUUUUUAAAUCAUAAGGGGGUUAUGUGAUAAAAUACCAAAUUACAGGGAUAAAAGGUAAUGUACCCAUUAUAUAUAUAUAUAUAUAUAUAUAUAUAUAUUUAUAUCUAGUACCAAUUGGUGGCUCCGAGUUGGUCGGUCAAUUGCUGGUCUAGGGCCUCCAGGCUGCACAACCAAAUAGAGGGUCCAGAUUGAAUACACAUUAUUAACUGCUAGGGCUUGAUAACCAUUUCGACAUGAAAUCUUUUUGUUGCUUUUAUUUAUUUAUUUAUUAGUUAUGUAGUUAGGGAGACUAGAACCCCAACUUAGCACCCAAGGGGAACUUAAGUCCCUCCUUCUGGCAAACUCUCAAUCCUAAAUUCCUUUAACAAUUUGAAUUUUUCUAGUUUAGAAUAUGAAAAUUUCGAUAGGGUAUGGUUUGUCAUUAUGAAAACUCACAAUUAAAAUAAAGGUUUUUCUAAUGAGUACUCCUAAGGCACUCAUUAAAAUAUCUAAAUUACACUUAAUUUGUUACAUGAAUGUACACAUUCACAUUUAUUAUCUCCAUACAUUUAGAUAUUGUCUCAAAUUAGUUUAACUCUUGUAAAAAAAUUAAUAUUAUGCAAAAGUAUCUUAACGAGUUUUUGGGUUCGAACCCUUUUACUUAUACUAGAAAAAUAAAAAUAAAAUAAAAAGAGCUCCCUGGUGAUUAACGGGACACUAAUUAAACAAAACCUUAAAAGUUAUUAAGGAACCCAUGUUCAAUUUUUUGUUGUCUUUCCUUUUUAGUUCAAAAUUUUCAAACACCAAUACCUAAAAAUGAAAAUUUUUUCCUUUGAUCUAGGGGCACAUUUACAAACUAUGGGGUAAUUUUUUUUUUUUCAGAAUAUUGUACCUCGAACUGCUAUUUUGUUUCUAUUCCUUCUCUGUUGUAAAUGGGUAUGUAAUCGUGUUGGCAAUCAUGUUACCCAUUUUAAUCUGCAUUGCACAAUGAAUUUAGAUGUGGAGGUUGUGUCAGAAAAUUCUUCCCCCUCGUUGUUCGCUGCACAGUCUUAGUUAGCCAAUCCAUCCUAAAGAUUAUAUCUAUUGAUGAUAACAUUGUCAUCGUCAAAACGAAAAGGAAAUUCACACACUAAGCAAUGUUGCCAUAUGUAGGUAAAAAGAAUAAUUCAAAUUUAUUGAAAGAGAUAGAAUUUGUUUGAAGACAGAAAUUUGAAGUACAUUUGAUUGGAGCUUCGAGGAGAACUAAAAGAGAAAUAGAUAAAAUCCAAAUGUUUGUUAGCCCAUCAAUUCUCUUCAAUUAAACAUGCUACAACUACAAGAGAAGCAGUGAUUAAUUCGUAUCAUGCCCGUCGGGCACAAUCAGUUAUCCGUGGAUCACAUAGGGUGGUUUGCGGUCUGUCUUGGGCCAUCAUUGUGUUUAGCCCAAAUCAGGUGCAUGCAAAUUAGAAUUUUCUUAAAUAAAAAUACAAGGCACAAAUCAAAUUCCUGCAUCUAAAUUGGCAAGAUAUCCAGCUCUUGCCUUUAGAUGCUUUAUCCGACGAUGUUUAUGGCAGUUUCGGACUCCAAAUAGUGAAUUUACCAACUCUUUAUGAGGAGAACAUCAUAAAAGCAUUCCAUUUUGGUUGUCCUAAGCAUUCAACAUAUCACUACACCAUCAGAGUACUGAGGCCACAACCGAUGUGGUCUUGCAGCAUCCUAUGUAUAAGAACUGAAAAACAUUGUAGUAUCACCAGUAAAACCAUACUGAAACGCUAAUGUGUUACAUUCUUGGGAAGGUUGCGGAUGACGUUACUCUUCAUGCCAAUCUUGGAACGCAUAGCCUCCACGC